UUCAAAAGCUUUAGUUCAUCUUUCCUUCAAAUGGUAUUAGAGCUGUAAAUGAUCUUAGAGGUCCAAGUUUAAUCAUUUACCAUGACUUCCGGUUUCAAUUCAUCUACUCCACCAAAGUUCACCAGAGAGAAUUAUUCUUUCUAGAGUGUGAAGAUGGAGUCAUAUCUCAAAGCUUUCACUCUUUAGGAAGUUGUGGAAACUGACAAUGAACCAUACUCAAAGCUUUCACUUUUUGGGAAGUUGUGGAAACUGACGAUGAACCAGUUCAAAGGACAGCUAAUCCGACACUUGCUCAGAUCAGGCAAUUUAAGGAAGACAAAACAAAGAGUGCAGUGUUUGCCUGGAAUUAAAAAAAACAGCAAGUGGUUGCUCAAUCAACAGUUGAGGUUGAGUACAUUACUUGUGCAGCUGCUGCUAACCAUGCUCCAUGGCUGAGGAAGUUACUGGUUGAGCUAGGAUUCAAGCAAGACAAGGGAACCUUGAUCAAUGUUGACAAAUUUGUCAACAGUUGCAAUUACAAAAAACCCUAUUCAACAUGGAAGGACUAAGCAUAUUCGUGUAAAGUAUCAUGCUUUAAAGGAUGUUGUGAAAGAAGGUGAGAUUGAGUUGCUGCAUUGUUCAACCCUUGAUCAACUUGCUGAUAUCUUCACUAAAAGCUUGGGAAAGGAGAGGUUUGAGUAUUUGCGAUAAUGUCUUGGAGUUCUCCCGAUUAAGAAUUAUGGGGUUGUGUUGAAAGAUAAUUCUCAAUAUGAAAAUCAAGUUGGGUGAACGAAGGUUGAAGGAAGAUCGUUGGAGCCAAAACGGUGUCAUCUCUUGAGUAAAUAGGCUAGUGAUAUAAAAUGUCAAGUUCUCGUAUAAUUUGUUCUUGGUUUUAAAUCGAGUGCAUUCAAAACGGUAUUGCUCUUGUCGUUUCAGGUUGUUUCUUAUUAGUUGAUCUUGUACGCACCAUUUAGGUGCCAUUUUUAUUGUCUCUUCUCAGUAUUUGUUGUAAGGCCAACAACCGUAUCUGUUUCUUUUCCAAUUUACCGUUACGCCACUUCUUGUUUCUUGUGCA
Non-coding RNA from Theobroma cacao (cacao), 1054 nucleotides. NCBI's taxonomy places the organism in Eukaryota, Viridiplantae, Streptophyta, Magnoliopsida, Malvales, Malvaceae. The record is from RefSeq and is a predicted model, not a curated record.